AAGUCGUAACAAGGUUUCCGUAGGUGAACCUGCGGAAGGAUCAUUAACAAAUUCCAAAACUCGUGUUUGACUACGUCAUGUGUGUCAGGUACUGCUGCAGAGUGUCCCCAUGUGGGCCACACGAGCCCCCUGACACACAUAAAGUGGCGUAGUCUAUCUACAACACACAUAUACAUAAAACAAUCACAUUCAACCAUAUUUGACAACCAAGAGUAACCAAUACUUGAAAAAUGUUUAUUUAAUCGAAACAACUUUUAACAAUGGAUCUCUCGGCUCUC
This 278-nucleotide unclassified non-coding RNA is filed under the name fungal sp. RNAcentral's name for it is "partial internal transcribed spacer region". The stretch from base 1 to 46 matches the Rfam family "Eukaryotic small subunit ribosomal RNA", at positions 1786 to 1831 of the family's 1831-position model. Lineage: Eukaryota; Fungi. The record is from RNAcentral.